GGUUAAGCGACUAAGCGUACACGGUGGAUGCCCUGGCAGUCAGAGGCGAUGAAGGACGUGCUAAUCUGCGAUAAGCGUCGGUAAGGUGAUAUGAACCGUUAUAACCGGCGAUUUCCGAAUGGGGAAACCCAGUGUGUUUCGACACACUAUCAUUAACUGAAUCCAUAGGUUAAUGAGGCGAACCGGGGAACUGAAACAUCUAAGUACCCCGAGGAAAAGAAAUCAACCGAGAUUCCCCAGUAGCGGCGAGCGAACGGGAGGAGCCCAGAGCCUGAAUCAGUGUGUGUGUUAGUGGAAGCGUCUGGAAAGGCGCGCGAUACAGGGUGACAGCCCCGUACACAAAAAUGCACAUACUGUGAGCUCGAUGAGUAGGGCGGGACACGUGGUAUCCUGUCUGAAUAUGGGGACCAUCCUCCAAGGCUAAAUACUCCUGACUGACCGAUAGUGAACCAGUACCGUGAGGGAAAGGCGAAAAGAACCCCGGCGAGGGAGUGAAAAAGAACCUGAAACCGUGUACGUACAAGCAGUGGGAGCCUCUUUUAUGGGGUGACUGCGUACCUUUGUAUAAUGGGUCAGCGACUUAUAUUCUGUAGCAAGGUUAACCGAAUAGGGGAGCCGAAGGGAAACCGAGUCUUAACUGGGCGUUAAGUUGCAGGGUAUAGACCCGAAACCCGGUGAUCUAGCCAUGGGCAGGUUGAAGGUUGGGUAACACUAACUGGAGGACCGAACCGACUAAUGUUGAAAAAUUAGCGGAUGACUUGUGGCUGGGGUGAAAGGCCAAUCAAACCGGGAGAUAGCUGGUUCUCCCCGAAAGCUAUUUAGGUAGCGCCUCGUGAAUUCAUCUCCGGGGUAGAGCACUGUUUCGGCAAGGGGUCAUCCCGACUUACCAACCCGAUGCAAACUGCGAAUACCGGAGAAUGUUAUCACGGGAGACACACGGCGGGUGCUAACGUCCGUCGUGAAGAGGAAACAACCCAGACCGCCAGCUAAGGUCCCAAAGUCAUGGUUAAGUGGGAAACGAUGUGGGAAGGCCCAGACAGCCAGGAUGUUGGCUUAGAAGCAGCCAUCAUUUAAAGAAAGCGUAAUAGCUCACUGGUCGAGUCGGCCUGCGCGGAAGAUGUAACGGGGCUAAACCAUGCACCGAAGCUGCGGCAGCGACGCUUAUGCGUUGUUGGGUAGGGGAGCGUUCUGUAAGCCUGUGAAGGUGUACUGUGAGGUAUGCUGGAGGUAUCAGAAGUGCGAAUGCUGACAUAAGUAACGAUAAAGCGGGUGAAAAGCCCGCUCGCCGGAAGACCAAGGGUUCCUGUCCAACGUUAAUCGGGGCAGGGUGAGUCGACCCCUAAGGCGAGGCCGAAAGGCGUAGUCGAUGGGAAACAGGUUAAUAUUCCUGUACUUGGUGUUACUGCGAAGGGGGACGGAGAAGGCUAUGUUGGUCGGGCGACGGUUGUCCCGGUUUAAGCGUGUAGGCUGGUUUUCCAGGCAAAUCCGGAAAAUCAAGGCUGAGGCGUGAUGACGAGGCACUACGGUGCUGAAGCAACAAAUGCCCUGCUUCCAGGAAAAGCCUCUAAGCAUCAGGUAACAUCAAAUCGUACCCCAAACCGACACAGGUGGUCAGGUAGAGAAUACCAAGGCGCUUGAGAGAACUCGGGUGAAGGAACUAGGCAAAAUGGUGCCGUAACUUCGGGAGAAGGCACGCUGAUAUGUAGGUGAAGCGACUUGCUCGUGGAGCUGAAAUCAGUCGAAGAUACCAGCUGGCUGCAACUGUUUAUUAAAAACACAGCACUGUGCAAACACGAAAGUGGACGUAUACGGUGUGACGCCUGCCCGGUGCCGGAAGGUUAAUUGAUGGGGUUAGCGGUAACGCGAAGCUCUUGAUCGAAGCCCCGGUAAACGGCGGUACGUAACUAUAACGGUCCUAAGGUAGCGAAAUUCCUUGUCGGGUAAGUUCCGACCUGCACGAAUGGCGUAAUGAUGGCCAGGCUGUCUCCACCCGAGACUCAGUGAAAUUGAACUCGCUGUGAAGAUGCAGUGUACCCGCGGCAAGACGGAAAGACCCCGUGAACCUUUACUAUAGCUUGACACUGAACAUUGAGCCUUGAUGUGUAGGAUAGGUGGGAGGCUUUGAAGUGUGGACGCCAGUCUGCAUGGAGCCGACCUUGAAAUACCACCCUUUAAUGUUUGAUGUUCUAACGUUGGCCCCUGAUCGGGGUUGCGGACAGUGUCUGGUGGGUAGUUUGACUGGGGCGGUCUCCUCCUAAAGAGUAACGGAGGAGCACGAAGGUUGGCUAAUCCUGGUCGGACAUCAGGAGGUUAGUGCAAUGGCAUAAGCCAGCUUGACUGCGAGCGUGACGGCGCGAGCAGGUGCGAAAGCAGGUCAUAGUGAUCCGGUGGUUCUGAAUGGAAGGGCCAUCGCUCAACGGAUAAAAGGUACUCCGGGGAUAACAGGCUGAUACCGCCCAAGAGUUCAUAUCGACGGCGGUGUUUGGCACCUCGAUGUCGGCUCAUCACAUCCUGGGGCUGAAGUAGGUCCCAAGGGUAUGGCUGUUCGCCAUUUAAAGUGGUACGCGAGCUGGGUUUAGAACGUCGUGAGACAGUUCGGUCCCUAUCUGCCGUGGGCGCUGGAGAACUGAGGGGGCUGCUCCUAGUACGAGAGGACCGGAGUGGACGCAUCACUGGUGUUCGGGUUGUCAUGCCAAUGGCACUGCCCGGUAGCUAAAUGCGGAAGAGAUAAGUGCUGAAAGCAUCUAAGCACGAAACUUGCCCCGAGAUGAGUUCUCCCUGAGACUUUAAGUCUCCUGAAGGAACGUUGAAGACGACGACGUUGAUAGGCCGGGUGUGUAAGCGCAGCGAUGCGUUGAGCUAACCGGUACUAAUGAACCGUGAGGCUUAACCUU
Molecule: ribosomal RNA, 2894 nt
Filed under: Escherichia coli
Lineage: Bacteria; Pseudomonadati; Pseudomonadota; Gammaproteobacteria; Enterobacterales; Enterobacteriaceae
Description: 23S ribosomal RNA
Rfam family: Bacterial large subunit ribosomal RNA
Source: RNAcentral